UAUCGGAGCCGGACUCAGCGGCUUGUCAGCCGCCAAGCUGCUGUCCGAGCGUGGCAUUGACGUCACCAUACUCGAAGCACGUGGCCGGGUCGGAGGCCGCCUGUUUACCAUAAAGAAUGAUUUGGUUGGCUGGGUGGACCUGGG
Long non-coding RNA from Rhipicephalus microplus (southern cattle tick), 144 nucleotides. The record is from RefSeq and is a predicted model, not a curated record. NCBI's taxonomy places the organism in Eukaryota, Metazoa, Arthropoda, Arachnida, Ixodida, Ixodidae.